Molecule: non-coding RNA, 45 nt
Filed under: Schistosoma mansoni
Lineage: Eukaryota; Metazoa; Platyhelminthes; Trematoda; Strigeidida; Schistosomatidae
Source: RNAcentral
GUCCACCUGACGAGUCCGGAAUAGGACGAAACGCGCGUUCUGGAU